GAUGAACGCUGGCGGCGUGCCUAAUACAUGCAAGUAGAACGCUGAAGGAGGAGCUUGCUCUUCUGGAUGAGUUGCGAACGGGUGAGUAACGCGUAGGUAACCUGCCUGGUAGCGGGGGAUAACUAUUGGAAACGAUAGCUAAUACCGCAUGACAACAGUUAUUGCAUGAUAACUGUUUAAAAGGGGCAACUGCUCCACUACCAGAUGGACCUGCGUUGUAUUAGCUAGUUGGUGAGGUAACGGCUCACCAAGGCGACGAUACAUAGCCGACCUGAGAGGGUGAUCGGCCACACUGGGACUGAGACACGGCCCCGACCCCUACGGGAGGCAGCAGUAGGGAAUCUUCGGCAAUGGACGGAAGUCUGACCGAGCAACGCCGCGGGAGUGAAGAAGGGUUUCGGAUCGUAAAGCUCUGUUGUAAGAGAAGAACGAGUGUGAGAGUGGAAAGUUCACACUGUGACGGUAUCUUACCAGAAAGCGACGGCUAACUACGUG
Molecule: ribosomal RNA, 495 nt
Filed under: uncultured bacterium
Lineage: Bacteria
Description: partial 16S ribosomal RNA
Rfam family: Bacterial small subunit ribosomal RNA
Source: RNAcentral